AUUGAACGCUGGCGGCAGGCCUAACACAUGCAAGUCGAACGAGUGGCGGACGGGUGAGUAAUGUCUGGGAAACUGCCUGAUGGAUGGGGAUAACUACUGGAAACGGUAGCUAAUACCGCAUACCAUCGGAUGUGCCCAGAUGGGAUUAGCUAGUAGGUGGGGUAACGGCUCACCUAGGCGGCGAUCCCUAGCUGGUCUGAGAGGAUGACCAGCCACACUGGAACUGAGACACGGUCCAGACUCCUACGGGAGGCAGCAGGGGGGAAGAUUGCACAAUGGGCGCAAGCCUGAUGCAGCCAUGCCGCGUGUAUGAAGAAGGCCUUCGGGUUGUAAAGUACUGUCAGCGGGGAGGCGUUACCCGCAGAAGAAGCACCGGCUAACUCCGUGCCAGCAGCCGCGGUAAUUC
Molecule: ribosomal RNA, 406 nt
Filed under: uncultured bacterium
Lineage: Bacteria
Description: partial 16S ribosomal RNA
Rfam family: Bacterial small subunit ribosomal RNA
Source: RNAcentral